GGACAACCUACCCAAGAGUCAGGGAUAACCCCGGGAAACUGGGGAUAAUACCUGAUAGGCCACGACAUCUGGAAUGAGUCGUGGUUUAAACGUAAGGCUCUUGGAUGGGUCUGCGGCGGAUUAGGUUGUUGCCGGUGUAACGUACCAGCAAGCCUGUAAUCCGUACGGGUUGUGGGAGCAAGAGCCCGGAGAUGGAUUCUGAGACACGAAUCCAGGCCCUACGGGGCGCAGCAGGCGCGAAAACUCUACAAUGCAGGCAACUGCGAUAGGGGAACAUCGAGUGGCACCCACCAUGGGUGUCUGUCCAGCCGUCUAAAAAACGGCUGUUAGCAAGGGCCGGGCAAGACCGGUGCCAGCCGCCGCGGUAAUACCGGCGGCUCGAGUGGUGGCCGAUAUUAUUGAGUCUAAAGGGUCCGUAGCCGGCUUUGCAAGUCCCCUGGGAAAUCCAGCGGCUUAACCGUUGGGCUUUCAUGGGAUACUACAUUGCUUGGGACUGGGAGAGGUAGGAGGUACUCAGGGGGUAGGGGUGAAAUCCUGUAAUCCUCUGGGGACCACCGGUGGCGAAGGCGUCCUACCAGAACAGGUCCGACGGUGAGGGACGAAAGCUAGGGGCACGAACCGGAUUAGAUACCCGGGUAGUCCUAGCCGUAAACGAUGCUCGCUAGGUGUCACGGCAGUCGUGAAUUGUCGUGGUGCCGUAGGGAAGCCGUGAAGCGAGCCACUUGGGAAGUACGACCGCAAGGUUGAAACUUAA
Molecule: ribosomal RNA, 754 nt
Filed under: uncultured archaeon
Lineage: Archaea
Description: bacterial SSU rRNA
Rfam family: Archaeal small subunit ribosomal RNA
Source: RNAcentral